Molecule: ribosomal RNA, 468 nt
Filed under: uncultured bacterium
Lineage: Bacteria
Description: partial 16S ribosomal RNA
Rfam family: Bacterial small subunit ribosomal RNA
Source: RNAcentral
GAUGAACGCUGGCGGCGUGCUUAACACAUGCGAGUCGAACGGAAAGGCCCGGCUUUUGUGGGGUGCUCGAGUGGCGAACGGGUGAGUAACACGUGAGUAACCUGCCCUUGACUUUGGGAUAACUGCAGGAAACGGGGGCUAAUACCGGAUAGGAGCUCCUGCGGCAUGGUGGGGGGUGGAAAGUUUCGGCGGUUGGGGAUGGACUCGCGGCUUAUCAGCUUGUUGGUGGGGUAGUGGCUUACCAAGGCUUCGACGGGUAGCCGGCCUGAGAGGGUGACCGGCCACAUUGGGACUGAGACACGGCCCAGACUCCUACGGGAGGCAGCAGUGGGGAAUAUUGCACAAUGGGCGGAAGCCUGAUGCAGCAACGCCGCGUGCGGGAUGACGGCCUUCGGGUUGUAAACCGCUUUCGCCUGUGACGAAGCGUGAGUGACGGUACUGGCUAAAAAAGCCCCGGCUAACUACGUG